This 383-nucleotide ribosomal RNA is filed under the name uncultured bacterium. RNAcentral's name for it is "bacterial SSU rRNA". It matches the Rfam family "Bacterial small subunit ribosomal RNA", at positions 970 to 1352 of the family's 1533-position model. The record is from RNAcentral.
CUUACCAAAUCUUGACAUCCUCUGACCCCUCUAGAGAUAGAGUUUUCCCCUUUGGGGGACAGAGUGACAGGUGGUGCAUGGUUGUCGUCAGCUCGUGUCGUGAGAUGUUGGGUUAAGUCCCGCAACGAGCGCAACCCUUAAGCUUAGUUGCCAUCAUUAAGUUGGGCACUCUAAGUUGACUGCCGGUGACAAACCGGAGGAAGGUGGGGAUGACGUCAAAUCAUCAUGCCCCUUAUGAUUUGGGCUACACACGUGCUACAAUGGACAAUACAAAGGGCAGCGAAACCGCGAGGUCAAGCAAAUCCCAUAAAGUUGUUCUCAGUUCGGAUUGUAGUCUGCAACUCGACUAUAUGAAGCUGGAAUCGCUAGUAAUCGUAGAUCAG